GGGAGCUUAGAUGUGGAAGCUCUUUGGAAACCAAGAAACACUCUGAAAAUGAAAAGGAUACCAACUUCAUCUCUCUUUAAGAAUACAAUAUUAGUUUAAAAGAUUGUUCAACUUAAAGCAAUCUUGUAGAGAUUGUCACCCAUGAUUGAUGCUGGGUGGAAGAGUAAACUGUUCCUGUUUCUCCAUCUUGACAGGAAGCAGAAGUUCUCCUUAGCUGAUUUUUCUUCUUGCCUUAUACUGGGUUCUUUAACACCAGAACAAAAAUAAAUAAAUAAAAGAAUCUUCCAGAAAUUCAUGAAGAGACUUCAGGUCAGGAAAGCCUGAACUUUCUCAUCCAACACCCGUUCAAGUCGGAGGAUGCUGAUUAAUUCAUGAUGGAAAGGUAUCAAUUUCACAGCCCAGACCUCUACAUUCUUGAAAUGCUCUUCUCAUGGGAGACAUUAAAUAAGCUUUGAAUUAACUGAAUGUACAGGGUGUACCAUGAACAAUUCUGACAUGUGAUUUAAUCUAUGUGGGACUACAUUUUAAAUACAUUUGGGAAGGAUUGAACAAUGAAGUGGAGCCCAUCAAUAUUGGUACUGAAAAUGAGACAUGCCAUGACACCCAGGAUGCAGCUGUAGGAACACCACUGGGUCCCUGGAUGUCAUGUAAGCCCUUAAGUAAAAGUGCCAUCAAAUGAUUUCUCAGAAAUUAUAAAGAAACAAAAGGACCAUAAACAAGAUAAGGUGGCAUGAGGAAACAUUACAAGUACCUUUCAGAGCUGACUGGCAAAGAAACUCCUGAGGUGACGGUUCUACCCCAAUAUUACUUCUUCGAAGAGCAACCUAACUGACCUUGUAUUGAAGACAGCGUAACCCCCAAGAGGAAAGGAGCUUGGAGCCCUGAAUCAGAGUAGAAGACAGGCUGAAUGAAUACCAGCCUUGGACUGUUGUGUGAAUGAAAAACAAGUUUUGAGAUUUGUGUGGUUUAUUUAUUAUAGUUACUGUUAUUAUUAAAGUUUUUCACUGC
This 1008-nucleotide long non-coding RNA is filed under the name Homo sapiens (human). RNAcentral describes it as "SATB1 antisense RNA 1". Lineage: Eukaryota; Metazoa; Chordata; Mammalia; Primates; Hominidae. The record is from RNAcentral.